UCAGAUUGAACGCUGGCGGCAGGCCUAACACAUGCAAGUCGAGCGGUAACAUUUCUAAGCUUGCUUAGAAGAUGACGAGCGGCGGACGGGUGAGUAAUGCUUGGGGAUCUGCCUGAUGGCGGGGGACAACCACUGGAAACGGUGGCUAAUACCGCAUAAUACCUAUGGGUCAAAGUGUGGGACCUUCGGGCCACACGCCAUCAGAUGAACCCAAGUGAGAUUAGCUGGUUGGUAAGGUAACGGCUUACCAAGGCGACGAUCUCUAGCUGGUCUGAGAGGAUGAUCAGCCACACUGGGACUGAGACACGGCCCAGACUCCUACGGGAGGCAGCAGUGGGGAAUAUUGGACAAUGGGGGCAACCCUGAUCCAGCCAUGCCGCGUGUGUGAAGAAGGCCUUCGGGUUGUAAAGCACUUUCAGUGGUGAGGAAGGUGGUGUCGUUAAUAGCGGCAUCAAUUGACGUUAGCCACAGAAGAAGCACCGGCUAACUCCGUGCCAGCAGCCGCGGUAACACGGAGGGUGCGAGCGUUAAUCGGAAUUACUGGGCGUAAAGCGCACGUAGGCGGUAUGUUAAGCAAGAUGUGAAAGCCCAGAGCUCAACUCUGGAAUAGCAUUUUGAACUGGCAUGCUAGAGUUUUGGAGAGGGUGGUAGAAUUUCCAGUGUAGCGGUGAAAUGCG
Molecule: ribosomal RNA, 677 nt
Filed under: uncultured bacterium
Lineage: Bacteria
Description: bacterial SSU rRNA
Rfam family: Bacterial small subunit ribosomal RNA
Source: RNAcentral